UGUUGUUAUUAUAUAGUCUUGGUCUGGAGGAUAGGACUCGAACCAAUGGCUUCAAGUUACAAGAAAGGAGAGUCUGGCUAAACAUCAGGAAGAACUUUCUGACAGUAAGAUCUGUUUGAUAGUGGAAUGGUCUCCCCUGGGUGAUGGUGGACUCCUCUUUCCAUCUCUGGGCUACUGCACAUAGAUCUAGUUUAAACACAUGUGUUUGGGGCUUGCGUGGCAAACCGUAGUGUUGAGAAUUCUCACUGGGAUGACUGAAAGCCUUAACCUGUUGGAACCCCAAGCAAUUGCUAAGUCAGCCACCCCCAGCCUGUUCUCCUUCAGAUGUUUAGGACCUUGUUUUCUCCUGCUCUGGAAGGUAGGACUCGAACCAGUGGCUUCAAGCUCCAAGAAGAGAGAGUCCAAGUAAACAUCAGGAAAAACCUUCUGACAGUAAGAGCUGUUCGUCGGUAGAACGGUCUCCCUCUGGAGGUUGUGAACUCUCCUUCCUUCCAACUCUACAGUUCUGUGAUUCUAUGAUUCUGUGUUCUACACAUGAAGGAUAAUUGAGGCAAUGAAUAAGUUAAUAAAGUGAAUGGAUCAAUAAAACCUCAUGAUGAUGCAGAAUUCGCCUCUUCAGGAGAAACCAUUUCUUGCUGUGACGGUUUUCUACUUGCAGAGGGGUGUGUGUGUUUAAUGUAUGGGACAUUUAUAAAUGUGAUUCUCUUACCUGUAGGGUGAAAUGGUCCAUUCAACUACAUCAUACAUGACCCCCUUCACUUGCCUGUUUGUAUAGAACAGGCCGUAGAGAAUGCUAGGUAAUUAAGUAUUGUAACUCUUCAUAAAUUAUCAUAAUUAUCUAGUUAUUUGUUUGCUGCUUUCCUUGUUCCCCAAUUUCUGUAUUUACAAAUAAAAUAUUAUAAAAUUGAUAA
Podarcis lilfordi (Lilford's wall lizard) is the source of this 911-nucleotide non-coding RNA. The record is from the annotation of a GenBank genome assembly. NCBI's taxonomy places the organism in Eukaryota, Metazoa, Chordata, Lepidosauria, Squamata, Lacertidae.